Long non-coding RNA from Peromyscus eremicus (cactus mouse), 489 nucleotides. RefSeq lists it as uncharacterized. The record is from RefSeq and is a predicted model, not a curated record. The transcript has 2 exons. Lineage: Eukaryota; Metazoa; Chordata; Mammalia; Rodentia; Cricetidae.
UCCUACUGAGUACCACAUUCUACCUCUUCCAGCCAGAUCACUUUUCUGGACAACCUAGGCUAUGAUUUGAGCUAAGAGCCUUCCAAGACCUCUGUUAUGGAUCCUCUUCUCUAGGCUUCAGACUCUAAUACAGAACUGCGGCUGAUACAUUAUAAGCUUGAGUGUUCCUCAUCUCAACAGCCUGUGUUAAGAGGCAGUGUGACCAGCAUCUUUCUGCUCUGCUGUCAUGUCAUCCCUUCCAUGUCUGACCCCAUGCCUUUCACACCAUGAUAGACUUUAUACUGUCAUAAUGUGAAGUAAGUCAAGAUAAGCUCACCCCAACACCCCAAGCUGGGUUUUGUUAUGGCAAUUUAUCAUAGUAAAAAGAAUAGAAACUGAUGGAAAUGGUAAGAAUAUCUGAGCUGCUGUUAUUCAACUCAGAACAACGUAUAAUUAAUUAUUAAAAUUCUGAGUUACAGACUUUUAAAAUUAAUAUUCUGUUUUAAAAUG